Long non-coding RNA from Triplophysa rosa, 338 nucleotides. RefSeq lists it as uncharacterized. Lineage: Eukaryota; Metazoa; Chordata; Actinopteri; Cypriniformes; Nemacheilidae. The transcript is spliced from 4 exons. The record is from RefSeq and is a predicted model, not a curated record.
AAAGAGAGAGAGAGUGACCAUUGAGCUCAGCCAGGAGUGAGUGAAAUGGCCAAAGGCUUACAGGAAACUAUACGACGGCAAUGAGAAAACAACAAUUCGGUCUCAUCAACCGAGAGGGACAGCCCCCCGUGUGCCCUCCCUGCUCUCUCGCCUUGUUUGUGGACCACCCAAGAGAGCCUCAGUGGCAGACUACCUAAGAAGAUAAAUGUGCCAUACAGAAUUAGCUGUGGUUGUGGAUAGCACUUUCUCCAGACCUUACAUAACAGAAAUAGAAGACAUCACACAGUGUAAAAUCCGCUCCUGCCAGAGAUUUGGGAUGGGACCGCCGCAGCUCCCCG